AUGCAGCUGACGAGUCCCAAAUAGGACGAAACACGCGUCCUGGAU
RNAcentral lists this non-coding RNA (45 nucleotides) under Schistosoma mansoni. The record is from RNAcentral. Lineage: Eukaryota; Metazoa; Platyhelminthes; Trematoda; Strigeidida; Schistosomatidae.